UUACAUUAUUUGGAUAAGUGAACUACACAAGGGUAUGCCCUAAAAAAUGCAAUAUACAGGUUAGAAUAGGAAUGUCAGAUGACUGAAUUAAUGGCUCCACUCCUACCUCACGCCAUCCAUUCAUCCACAAAUAAGAGAAUCCUGAUGAAAUUCAACAGCAUGUGCUGUCCAAAAUAACCUAAGAUGAAUAAAAUUCAAACACUUCAUCAUCACCAUCUUUUGAUAACAUUUAUGUUAACUUUGUAUCCACCCAUCUUAUUGCUUUUUUCACCUCUUCCAGUAUUGGUGAUAUUUCCUUGUAGCCGUGAAACUUUUGUUCUAUAUGUUUUCAGUUCCACAUACACUUUUAAACCAGUUAGCAUGAUUUGAAUAGUCAAUCUGUAAGGCAGGUUUCUGUUUCCAAGUCAUCUAUGCAUAAGUAGUGUCAAAUGUCAUUUUGAGAGGCUUGCAAAUUGGAUGGCAAAUACUGAAAUCUUCUAGGAACUGUAAAAUGUCAUUUUGAGAGGCAUCUAAUACACAUCUUCAUAAUUUUUUUAUUAGAUAACCCAAUUUUUGAAGUUGUCAUUAGAAAGUCAUGUAACUUGAUUGUUCCUGUGGAUGUUGUACAAUCCCAAGGAAAUGCAAGUUGAGUGGAUUUUUAACAGCUAACGCAACAGUAAAUAAUUUGGGUGGUUCUAUAACAUAAUAAGCUACUGUUUAUACCACUGUAAAGAGAAAUGGCUACUAAAUUAACAGAAUAUGCCUCUGGAUAAAUAAUUUCCUAGCCUUCUAGGUGUCAGCUUACCCAAAGAAUGGAAAUAACCUUCAAGGGAGUACCGCUGGCAAAGCUCAUCAACCUUCUCCAUAUAACCAGCUUCCAUGGCCAAAUAUACCUGCACCAGAAGAACUGCUAAAUUAUAUUUUUAUGAUGUAUGAUGUUUAUAGCAAGAGAACAUAGUCAUCAUACAGAAGAUACGGAUCAGAUUUCUAAGAACUACUAUGCAUGACCAACACAUAACACCCAGUCCCCUGCCCCCAAAGAAAAGGGUAAUUCUCAUAUGCACUUCAUCCAACAAAACAAAAUGCAAUGGCAUAUAGAUUCCAUGCCUUGACCAAAUGAAUCUGCCAUUUUAAUAAAGCAAUUCAUUUGUUUUCUAUACAACCAAACAACACAUCAUUUGUGGCAAUGUGGAUGCACAUUACCAGGUAUUCCAUGAGUUUUGUUUCCUUCUUGGCCCGGAUUUCUGCAAUAUCCCAGCACCCUUUCUCAGCCAACUUCUUUACUAAACUGCAAAAAAAAAUGUUUUCACAAUUCUAAAAGUUUGGUAAAGAAUAUUUCUGUAUGGGCUUUGCAUUGAGCAACGGAGAGUCACCUCUCUUUAUACAAAUAGCUAACAUCUGGGAAUUCUUCUGUAAGGUCAUGUUCUUUCACCAACUUGUUCGCACUCUUUAGCAUUUGCAUAUCUAGGUACUUCUGAAUGACUAAAGAUAUCAUUUCCUUGCCCAUGAAAGUAGCACACUCCUCUGCAAUAUCUAAUUGAUUGCUUUCAAUUAAUUUUAUGAGAAAGGACUCAUCACAGCAUUUGAUGGAAAAUCGUGUUAUCAGAGCCACAGCGAUUGCAUUGGAUUCUGAUUCCAUAAAGCAUUUUACAUACUGUCUUAGAUGUUCCCUUGCUUUCACUAGAUCAUCAUCCAACUCUGAACCAUACAGAGCAUAAGCCAUAUCUCUCAACUCAAUCUCAAAUGUCUCAAGAAGCUUAACCAAUAUGCGGUUCUCAUGGGGUACAACAGAAUCAAGGAUAUCAAGAAUAAGUUGUGCAGCAAGGUGCUUUGCCUCCAAGAAAUCUUUCUUUACGGACUCAACAGAUUUCAAGUGCUUUAACGAAGAUGUCAACAUAUGGCUGAACCCUUCAGAAUAAGUUUUCCCCAGCAAAGGUACAAUGUACAUACACUGGACAGCAUAUGUGAAAGGGCCUGGCUGUGGCCCAUUAUGCAAUGCUGCUUUCACCAGCUGCAGAAGGAUCUUAAACUUUGAGGUUGCUUUGUUGGUACCUGAGUUAAAAGUUCAGAGCUCAGAUGUAUCAUAAGCAUAACCAUAGCAUUACAAGAAUGAGUACCAUCAGUCAAAUUUGAUUCAAUAUUGUGGAAGCCCCAAAAAACAUAUUAUGACACCUAAAAUUUAACUUAUCUCACAAUUAAAAAUUUCACAGGAAAUGAUAAGGGAAAAUCUACCAAUAUAUAAAAUGGAAUGCUUCACAAGCUCUUUUAGAAAAUCCGCGGUGCAGUGAAGUAAAACCAGCUGCAGCUAUGAUUCCAAUAGAUGAAGAAACAUAGAUAGUGAAAUAUGGAAGUCUAAGAAACAUGCAAAUUAUAUGUAGGCAUACCAUACGCAUAGCAGUCCUUUAAAAGAUAAAUGAAAGUGGCUGGCGGAACGUGUGAUAGAUCAGAAAAUGCAUGUAAGCAUAUGGAGCGCUCGUCAGUGUGCUGAUUGGUUUGAGGGCCUUCCUGGGAAACUUCUUCAAAACAACCCAUGCUUCAUUAAAGCAUAGUUAGCCUGUACAUAUCAGAAGAAAUAUGGAAUCAAAAUCAUGAAUGCAAAUUUCUUUCCAUGAAAACUAAGAGAUGUUUACAUCGUGCAUGAGUUCAACUAAUUUAACAGAAAAUGGUGACUGAAGAUAUGUGAUCCUCCUUCACGAGAAAUAAACAGACAGCAUCAUGUUAUUUCUGCUUCAAGUAUUUGUAUUUCUACCAAGCUGUAGCAUUUUAUUUCAUUUCCUUUGCUUUGGCUGGACUAGAGCCUCGACUGUUGAACUACAACAUGCUCAAAUCCAGUGCAUUGCACUGCAGAGUGCACUCGUGAAUGAAGUCAAACCACACUGAUGCCUACUUCAGUAUGCAGCAACGAUUAUACUCUGCAGCGUCAUUUCCCUUCUUUGUUCUCUUCAGUCACCAGAGGGGAAAACAGAGCAGCCGACUACACAUUUUAGUUGCUCGCAUUCCCCCGAAACAGGAAAAGAAAAGGUCCGAGAAAAAAAUCGCAAGAAGAAUUUCACCACGCAACCGCGAAAAUAAACCCGCACAAAAACGCAAAACCCCAUUGGGAGAGUGGGAACGGCACAAGAAUUCGCAAAAUCCCCGAGAGAUUGGGAAGCACACGGAAAUUUCGAGAGACUAGGAACAAAGACAAGUAGAAAUAAUCGCGAACAGAGAAACAAACAAAUUUCCAUUUCGAGACCUCCAUGAUUGCGCAGAAAUCGCGCGUAAUAAUCUCCCCUAUGAGCCGAGAGAAAAUGUAAAAUAGGGAUACCUGCAACUAUCCCGGCCGAGCUCGCUCCCUUCCCGCUUCCCCCAAUCUUCUUCCAGGGACCGAACAAUCCGUGGUGCGAUCUGGUGCUAGGGUUUGUGGCUUUAGGAGGGCCGGAGGUNNNNNNNNNNNNNNNNNNNNNNNNNNNNNNNNNNNNNNNNNNNNNNNNNNNNNNNNNNNNNNNNNNNNNNNNNNNNNNNNNNNNNNNNNNNNNNNNNNNNNNNNNNNNNNNNNNNNNNNNNNNNNNNNNNNNNNNNNNNNNNNNNNNNNNNNNNNNNNNNNNNNNNNNNNNNNNNNNNNNNNNNNNNNNNNNNNNNNNNNNNNNNNNNNNNNNNNNNNNNNNNNNNNNNNNNNNNNNNNNNNNNNNNNNNNNNNNNNNNNNNNNNNNNNNNNNNNNNNNNNNNNNNNNNNNNNNNNNNNNNNNNNNNNNNNNNNNNNNNNNNNNNNNNNNNNNNNNNNNNNNNNNNNNNNNNNNNNNNNNNNNNNNNNNNNNNNNNNNNNNNNNNNNNNNNNNNNNNNNNNNNNNNNNNNNNNNNNNNNNNNNNNNNNNNNNNNNNNNNNNNNNNNNNNNNNNNNNNNNNNNNNNNNNNNNNNNNNNNNNNNNNNNNNNNNNNNNNNNNNNNNNNNNNNNNNNNNNNNNNNNNNNNNNNNNNNNNNNNNNNNNNNNNNNNNNNNNNNNNNNNNNNNNNNNNNNNNNNNNNNNNNNNNNNNNNNNNNNNNNNNNNNNNNNNNNNNNNNNNNNNNNNNNNNNNNNNNNNNNNNNNNNNNNNNNNNNNNNNNNNNNNNNNNNNNNNNNNNNNNNNNNNNNNNNNNNNNNNNNNNNNNNNNNNNNNNNNNNNNNNNNNNNNNNNNNNNNNNNNNNNNNNNNNNNNNNNNNNNNNNNNNGGGGGGGGGGGGGGUGAACUGGGGGUGGAAGAAGGAGCCGCAGGCCCGCAGAGGACAAGAGGAGGAGGAGAUUGCGGCUUGAAUGGGACAAGAUAUCGAUCGACCGUUUCAAAGGGAAGAGCCACGUCCACGUGAGCGGUCACCGGUAGCAGCGCCCACGCGCUCGCCUGGGCCCCUGCGCAGGUUUCCAUUCUCGGCCCGGCUCUCUGCCAGGAGAAAAUUGGUUCAGUAGUAUUGAAAAUCAUGACUUCCACAAAAUAUGAGUUUGUCCUCGUAAAAUAAUAUCGAAAGUUAUAAACGUUAACAGACAAUAACAUUCCGUUAUAUUUGUUCACUGAGAUUUUUUUGACCACAUAACAUGGACAUGAAAUGACAUUUCUACCCCUGGGUUCCAAAGACCAACAAAAAUCCUCCCAAAAUCCCACCGCGGGCGCAUCUCGGUCCUCCUCCUCAUGCGCGGGCCAAGACGCUGCCAUCCCUUUGCCCGACAGCCCUAUCACGCGACGACGCCAUCUGCAACCGCGACACCAGCUCUUCUCCAACGACGUCGCCGGACCUCCGGUCCUCUGCUGGGCAUGGUCCCAUGCCGUCCUUGCUGUGGGAGCGGAGAUCCGCCCAGGCAAGAUCUGGCCUGGUUGCCUUCUAGUGCCGUCAGUGAUCCUUGCUUGUCUACAUGAAUCACUUCUGAUAUCACGUGGAAGAACUAAGUGUAGAGGCUAAAAGCCAUGUUGUAUAUGGCUUGCCUGUUGUGCGUAUUGCAAUUUGCUGGAGCACGAAUCGAGAAGCGAGAUUGAGUCUCAACUCUUAAGGGAGGUGGUUCUGUCACUGUCACAGAUAAGCAUUCCGUCAGCCGAAUCAGUCCUUCUGUGUUGCCUAUUCCAGAUUUAAGUUAUGCAGAAAUAGACGGUGGAAGUGAGAUAAUUUUUUCCAUUGAAAGUGUGCUGAAAGUGUCAUCAUUUAUGUCCUACUAUGGAUGAAACGUAAGGUCAGGGGUAUUUUUAUCCCAACUAUCACCUUUUGUGCUAAAAUCUAACAUAAUGCUAAUUUCGGUUACUGUUUCAAUCUUUUAGUGAUUUUUUACGAGGACAAACUCUUUCAAUGGUAUUUUCCAGAAGUUGCAAUCUUUCGAUGCUGUAGAACUAAUUUUCCCCUCUGCUAGUGUUCUUUGCUGAGCUGGCGCGCUCCUCCUCAUUUUGCCUAUAUUUUUCUUUUACACUCUCUCUUUUCCCGUCGAGUGCCAUGUUUCUGUUUGUUUUUUAGGUGAAGCUGGAACAGGACUAGCUGUCUUUUGAUUGAUACCUAUGGAUGUAUUUUUUUAUGACAGACCCACAAUAUGAUUUAGAUCUUGCUUAUUCAUAAGUUAUUCUUUUAUCAAUAAAUUUAUAAUGAACCAUCACAUAAAUUAGCAUAAUAAUCUUUUAUUUAAUCUAAAAUAUCUUUUACUUACCAAAAAGUUAAAUAAAAAAUGAGCACUUCCUAUUUGGAGUAAAAAAAAUAUAUGAUUUAGAUCUUGCUAAUUUUUAAUUAUACAAUAUAUGAUUUAAAUCUAUAAUGUAUAAUUAAAAUUAUCACUUUUCAACUCCAAAAACAAACAAAGGAACAUAGAUAAAAAAAAAUUUGGAGUAAAAGCAUGAUUCGGUUUAAUAGAUAUGCAUAUAAAUAUUGAGAAAAUUUCCUAUUUGACAUCGGUAAAAUGACUGGUUCCUUUCUUGGCGUGGAACUUUUUAACUUCCCUAUUUGACACAGGUUUAACUUUUGUUCCCUAUGUCGUCUCUUUUUGCUGGAAACGGUGUUAAGUGGAUGGUGAAAAGACCAUUUUGCCCUUCAGCAUGACCAAAAGGACCAAGUCAAUUUUGAUGUCCAUAUUUCAGAAAUAAAAUGCGUAUGUGUUGAUCUCAUUCAGUGCAUUCAUUCGGCAUAAUUUUCUUUUACAAGGUUACUGAUCAAUUUGAUGCAUAUUGCAGCGUCACUAGUUAAUUUGAAACUAAAUUUGACACCUCAAAGCAAAAACAUCUCACGUCCCUUUAGGUUUGCCAAGCAAUUUAAUUUUUAGAGAAUUUUUUUAUUAGAAUAUAACAAACGAGGCGAGGUUGGCGCGUAAUCGCGCUGCCCACGUCAGAAAAAAAUCACUGUUGGAUUUCAAUUUUACGGCGUACAUUCUUUAGCUUCCGCUCCCCUUAACUGCCUCAUCAACGAUCUUGGGAAACUUCUAGCAGCAACGCGGCCUCUCCACCUCCUCCACCGCCUCUCGUCAAACAUCGAGGCUCCAGCCUCCAGCAGCGCUAAGCUGCCGACGCCUCCGCCUCCUUCCCGAAGAAAAAAAUCGCCCCUCCUCUGCAUGGCCAUUGCCCAAGUACAGCUCAUCUCCAUGGCUGUUGUCCACACGCAGCUCCCCUGCCAUCUCGCACUGCUCGAGUUUCAGCCCUGAUUUUUCUACCCCUCCAGUUUGUGAUUCCAUGUUUCCGGUGAUGUUCUCUUUCCUAUCUGAACAGAUCGAUCUGAGACACCUUGUUCAAUUUGUAGCGCCCUCCACCCAAUGGUGGUUAGGGUUUUGGUAUUGGCGAUUGUUUCCCUCCUACUAGUUUGGAGAUUUUCUGUCCUUCUGCCAAUUUCGUCACCACCAAGGUGAAUUGAUUUAGGGACCUUUUUCCCUCACAAUUGAUUUCUUCUUCUUCUAUUCUGGUCUGGUUGGCAAGAUUUGGGCUUUCUUCUUCUAUUCUAGUUUGGAGAUUUUGGCUACUAGGAUUUCUUGAUGCAAUCCUCUCUCUUCCUUCUAUUAUUCUUCACUAACUGAUUUGUUUCAUUUGAAUCUUUGCAUUGCAGUGAUAUGUUCGCAAGAGAGGUCCUGGUGGUGUUCGUAGAUAUUUCAUCUUUGGUGAGUGGCACUGUGUUCCAUCAUCUGUUCAUUUUGACCUGCUAUUGCAUCUUCAUGUUUCACAUUGCUUUUUGUCACCCCUUGUUUGGAUCAAGCGACGACAGCUGGCCAAUGCUUGCGGUGUGCUUUCUGAUGAAGUGAUGGUGGCUUCUCACGAGUGCUCCUACCGCAGAGGAGGCCGACCCAUGACGAAAUCCUGAUGGGAGUUGAUCAAGCCUGCCGCUCGUGGUCACCUAACCCGUCCUCAUCCCCGCGUAGAGCUCGGCUUCCUUGCGCGAGGUGCAGCCAUCCUCACCCUUGGGCCGCGCCCUCUGCGCAAAUGCUUGGAGCCACGAUCGCCUUUGCAUCUGUACUUUGGAGGCUCGGUCGCCUCCACGCCAUCCUCGUUGUCCUUUGAGGUUUGAGCCACUGCCGCCGCUAUUUUAGAUCUAGAGCUGGACCGUGGCCUGGUGGUAAGGGCAUUUUGAUCCAUUCAAUCAAGUCGAGAUGGGAACUUAACGGAAGCACGUAAUUCUUAUCCUCCAUGGUCUUAUAAUUCAUGUAUGCUAGAUAUUUGUGUCCAGAUUACAUUACUUAUAGGGCCAUCCAUACAUAAUGACCAUUUUGAUCAAAAGAAUCGGUUUAUGCAGAAAAAGAAGCGUAAGGUGAUAAGUCUAUCGUGUCAAAAAUGAUGGUAGAUUAAAUAAAAAUCCAGAUUUGACACUAGACAUAGAAAAACCGAACAUUGAAGAAUCAUCGGCUAGUUCUAUUGAUCAGAUUGCCCCUGAUGUUGAACAUGUUUCAAAUAAAAUAGAUAAACAACAGUAAAGUUCGGCUAGGGGGCAAGAUGGCCUCAAAGUGGCUGGUUCUAAAGGAACCGUUCUAACCGGUGUCCAAACUGUUCUGACUAGUCUUGCUAGAAAUUCUGAUAGAGUUGCAAAUGUCACACCAAAGAGCAAGGUGAUGAAGAAGCCAAGCUUUGCUGAAUUGUUGCAUAAAUAUCAAAAAAUAGCCAAGCAAAAGCAAAUCAAUCGAUUAGAAGACAAUCAAAGGAAGAGUUCAUCACCGAAAGCAAAGAAGCAUCAACGGUCAUCUCAUUGGUCUUCAACAUUUAUUCCGUUGAUGCAUAUGCCAUGGAAUGCAUAUUCAAGUAUCUCUAAUUAUAAUCCAUGGUUUUGGUAUAAUUCUUGGUCUUUAUUUUAUAAUUAUCAAUAUUAUGCUUAUGAUUCACCAAGGAUCCAUAAUUGGCCACCAUGGCCACAUCAAGAUUUCAGUUAUUAAAUAUGCUGAGAUGCUCAGAAGCUUUCUAGGAUUUUGUUUCGGCUACAUUAGUAUCCAUAAAGACUUUAUAGACCGUCAUAUGGGUGAUGUAUUGCCUAUCAUCGUCUUUAGACAAUAUUGAUUAUUGAGAAUAUUUUCUAACCUGCAUGCUUUGCCAUAAAAUAGGGGGGCAUGUGUUGACGGUCAAAAUUGGCAGAACUGGACGAUCAGGUCGAUGAACCGGUCUCCCAACCGGUUAGACCGAUUUUACUAAAGUCCUCAAAAUGCAAAUUGGACUUCACCAUUAUGUAUCUCUCGUCGAGUAGAUAAGAAUGCAUAUGUAGAAUGUCCGAUUUGAAGUCCGGAUCAGAGAGUUAUGACCUCGAGAAGAUCUGCACCCAGGAAAUCGGUCAAAUCGGUUUGCCAGGGUGGUCAGACCGGUUUGGUUUGUGUAGUCCAAGUUAGGAGUUGUAUUUUGACAUGAGAUUUGUUAGGGUUUCAACUCCAUUAGGGGUAAGACCACCCCUCCCUAUAAAUAUAAAGGGUCACGACUGAUUGAAGGUAUCCAAUCGAUCAAAAACCAAUCUAUCUUUUAUCAUUUUACCUUUCUUCUUCGUUACCCUACUUUUUCCAACCCCAUGUGCUAUUCUUCUCCUCUCUCCAUGGCAUGAGGAGGCGUCCUAGCUAGCCUACCAAGUCUAGGGCAACCUAAGGUACGCCUGCCCCAAUAGGGUCCCUCACGGGCGGGCGUUCGUUGGAUCCUCGCCAGGCUCCCCAGCGAGACUGACCUACCAUACCGGUCUAACUAGCCUGCACAGAGGAGCUGCAAGGAGCCCUUCCGCGCGCCGCACGUUCGAGUGCAUUCGUGUGUUGGCUCGAUUUUAGCGCCAACAUAUUUUAAAAAUGUGUUGGCGCUAAAAGCAAAAGAUACGAGGACGACUAAGUACGUAGAAAGAUACAACAACCGUUCCCGACAACGGCACCAGAAAGCUUGUUGGGUAUUUUACGAUGCGAAUAAAUCCGCAAGCGCACGGAUACUGUUGGAGUUUCACCUUAGAGUAUUCCAAUGGUAUCGAAUCCAAGGGAACGUGUGUGCACUAACUUCAAUUCUAGUUGGUCCAAGGACACACCAAGAUAGGUGGCGAGGGUAAAGAGGAUUCCUAAGGAUAGCACUAUAGAUGAGUUAAAGGUCGAUCUCUCGGGUCAGAAUACUCCCUUCAGGCAUCGGCAUACCCUGAAUUAGUUAGGUGCCUCCGGCCAACGGCUCUACGCUAUAUCCAAACGUUUAGAAUUACAUAGGAUCAAUAGGGCUGUCACCACCUACGACCUUCCUCUGUGGCCCGUAGGAUAUAAUACAAACGAAGGAUAACACUUAGCCUAGACACCACGUAUGCGCUACUGAUUACUACUACAGUCUAACUACGUCUAUGCACCCGUAGCAAACUACAACACUCUGUAUAAAUAUAGAGCGAUGAACUCGCGAGUAAGAGAGCUGAUCUCACUCAGAUAUAAGUACUACUAGUGUGUACUAUAUCCAGGUCUAAAGGCAUACAUAAGAGCAUACAAGCCUAUACUAUGAUAGCAAGGGUAUAUGACUAGCAUACGAGCAUAUAAGCCAAGCAUAUAAACAUAAUAAUAUACUACUCAUGCAUAAGAACCAAGUAUAACACUAUAAGAAGGAAUCACGAAUACAAAGUUACUUUACUCAAAGGAAGUCAGCAUUCGUAGAGGUACAAGCUAGGAGGAGAGUGCCGACACCCCGGCACUCCUCCCAAACUACCCAUCACACUCUCCCUAUUCUAAGCACAAGUUAGGCAAGGCUUUGCCUUUGGAGUGGAGCCCUAACUCUCUUGGAUGGUGUUGUGUCCUCAAAUGAGGCCCCUCCAUACUAUUUAUACAGUGGAGGUGCCUUGGGAGAGUGGAGAUCCUCCAAGCAUCUCAAGGGAAUCUUGAGAGAAUAUUCUCCUUAAACUCUUCUCCUUGUGCCACCUAAUGGAAUUUGAGGCUUUGAGGUGGUAACUCUGAGAUAACGUCCAUAACCGCCUUUAGGAAGUCACCAGGAGUCGACACGUGGAAGUUGAGCUCGAGGGGUGCUAGGCUAGUUUGACCAAACUAGGCCGAACCCUCUCACGUCGCCUUUCGUCUGGGAUGCUUCCUGGUGGGCCCUCGAGUCAGUGUAGGGUGCAUGCUCCAAAUUAAGGUGAUUUACCCUCUAAUGUGGGCCUAUGGAUCCAUGUUCUCUUUCCUGAUUGGCUAGAGUUGUGUUUCUUUGCCUCUUGGGUGUGUUUACUCCUCCUUUCUAAGGAUUAGUUACCUGCAUACAAAUAUUGACCAACACUUGUUGAAAUGGUUAGUAAUAAACCCCUAUCACUAGGUUGAUGUUCAUAUUUCUGGUAUUUAUGUAGGAGUUGACAACCUAAAAUUGGUACUUAAGAGCCGUCAACAACACCCCCACACUUAGCCUUUGCUCGUCCUCGAGUGAAGGGCAAAGCUAAGGUGGAACAUGACUUCAUAGGGCAAGGAACAAACAUGUAAGGUAUUCAGAGCCAUACCUAUACUUGUGAACUUUUGAAGUGUCUAUCAUGUUACCUUAGGCAGUUGAUGGUUGGAACGGUCUUGAUUCAAGUCCCCUCCACUCUUUCUAUCUUAGUAACUUGGGUUUUUUACAAUAUUUUUCAAAAGAAAACCUUACCUAGCUGCUCUAAUGAUUCGCUUAGAUCGCUCAAUGUGUAUGUUCCUCACCAAGGCAUUAACUUGCCUUUCUUCACCCUACUUCUAAUAAGGCUUAUGGGGAGCUCUAGAUUGGGAUAAAGAUGUGGCAUACCUGCAUCAUAUAUGUUGCAAAGUCAAACCCAAGUAGAAUACUAGUCUUACAAUCUGAUCAAGAUGUGCAAGUGUGUGGAUGGAAUAUGGUGGAAAGGUGUAUGGACUCCUUUUGUUUGAUUCCAUCUCUCUCCUUUCUUUCUUUCUUUUGGACAUGGGCUAUCUUUUUAUUUUUUUAUUUUUUUUCAUCAUGCUUUGAGCAUGGCUUUUUUCUUUUUUCCAUAGCCCAUGUCUCUUUUGCAAGGAUACAUUUGGCAAGAGAGGUCACACCACAUAUGGAGUUUUAUUUGGUGGAUAGAUGGAUGGGAUGUUACUAGCUUCCAGUGUAGAAGUCUAGUAUGUGGAAGUGGAGUGUACAUGAUCUUGAUCAUGAAAGUAUAAAAUAUAUUCCACAAGGGUCACAAUAAUUUGGCAAAGCUCAACGUGAUAGCAAGCAACAUAUGUGUAUAGGUUUUUCAAUAAGUAUCAAUAUAUGGCUUAGGACGGAGGCAUAUCAUUGAGGAGCUAGCUAGGUCAUUGUUUUUCAAGAUAAAUUUCCCAAGUACUAUGGACAGAAAAGAGCAAGGUUCAUUUUAUCAUGCUAUAUCUCAAAUAUCAGCAACCUAGGUAGCAUGCUUUCCUAAAGAUAUAGGUUCAUAAGCAAAUAGGUGCAAGCAAGGAAUAUAGAACAUGUAUGCCAACCAUAAGGAGCAUGUUUUCAGCCAAGGUUCAUUUUUAUUAUGAGUUUAAUCUUUAAUGAUCAGGGAUGAGAUUCAUUUAAACUCAUGAACCAGGGAGUAGAGAGGUAGAGUGCACAUACCAUCACUCUUGAAGAAGAUGGGAGGCGGACCAAUGGUGAUUUGGUCAAACCACGGGGGCGGCGGACUCAUUCUAGUGCACUGGCCUUGUCCCUUGUCUUGUUAGCGCAGUCGAUGUUGUGCAACACUUUUGUUGGAGAUCUCGAGUGUGUAUGUCGGUGAUGAGCUUGAGAGAUCUCCCCCACACUUAUGCUUGUACCUGGUGCUUUAUUCAAAAAAGGGUGGAAACAAAAUAGGGACUCUGGUGGUUCGAGAACCAGAGAGCCUUACUUUAUUGUAACUCAAAUAUUUUUUUAGGAUUUUUUUUUAUUUUCACCAUGAGACUUAACUCAAACAAGGUUGAAUUAAAAUCGCAUCAUCAUGAGCAAAAGAGGGUAUACUUACGGUAGACCCUUGAAGGGUUGUAUGUACCUUCUUUGUAUGUUGUGCAACCUGAAUCCGAUGCCUUGGCUUACCUUCCCAUUUGAAUCAAGCUCAAUGACUUACCUAUUUGGAUUUGAAGAUUCUUGCAGGGGUUAGUCCACAUAUACAACCAAUGACUGACCUAUUCAAUGACGAAGACCCCAGCUGGAACUUGAGCACGAGUAGAUCCAAGCUUGGAUAGGAUGUUGCCGCGAACUAUGUGGUGGAACUCCAGACUGGAGAACUUGUUCUCUAGGUUGCGUACUUCCAAGCAGUACGCAACCAUGUUGUCCUUGUGACGAUCCCACUAGUCGUUGACUUGAUUAAUUACCACCGGUGAGUCGCUGUAAACCAACAAUCGCUUGAUUCCUAGCGAGACUGCCAGGCGGAGCCUGUGUAGAAGCGCUUCGUAUUCAGCUUCAUUGUUGGAUAUCUCCUAGAAGAUUUGCAAGACGUAUUUGAGUUGUUCGCCUUUGGGAGAUAUUAAGAGUACUCCUGUGCCGGCACCCUCGAGCUUGAGUGAUCUGUCAAAAUACAUAACACAAUGCUCUGGUCGCUCUGCUGGCGUCGGUAGUUGAUUUUCCUACCAUUCUACCAUGAAAUCGACUAGUGCCUGGGACUUGAUCGCUUUCAUCAACUUGAAUUCCCGGAGCAAUGCUCCGAGUUCUACCUCCUACUUGGAUAUUCUUCCUAUUGCAUCCUGAUUGUGGAGAAUUUCUCCUAGAGGAAAGUCUAUGAUGAUGGAGAUGUUGUGCUCCUGGAAGUAGUGUUGUAGCUUCCGCGAGGUGAGUAGUAUUGCGUAUAUCAACUUCUGUACUGGUGGUUAUCUAGCCUUGGAUUUUGACAACACUUCACUGACGAAGUAGACAUGCCUUUGUACUUUGUAUACAUGGCCUGGUUCUAGUCUUUCAACUACGAUCGCCGUACUGACGACGUUAGUAGUCGCGGCAAUGUAAAGCAGCAAGUCUUCGUUGGGGUUUGGCGCCGUGAGGACUGGUGGUUUUGAUAGGAAGUUCUUCAACUGUUGCAUGGCUUGAUCUACCUCCUCGGUCCACUGGAAUUUAUCUUGCCACUUGAGUAGUUUGAAGAAGGGUAGUCCCCGUUCUUCAAGUGUUGAGAUGAAUCUGUUGAGGGCCGCCAUGCAUCCAGUCAGCUUCUAGACAUCCUUGAUACAUGAUGAAGCGUACAUGUAAAUGAUGGUGGAGGUCUUCUCAAGGUUGGCUUCAAUUUCUCGAUGGCUGAUGAUGAACCCGAGAAGUUUUCCGGAGGGUACGCUGAAAACGCACUUUGUUGGGUUUAGUUUCCACCGGAAUUCUCACAAGCUUGCGAAAGUUUCUUCCAAAUCCGCAAUCAAGUCGUUAGAAUUUCUGAUCUUUACGACCACGUCAUCCACGUACACCUCGACAUUGCGGUGUAGCUGUUUAUUGAAGCACUCCUAGAUUGCCUGUUGAUAGGUAGCGCAUGCGUUCUUCAACCGAAGGACAAUGUUGUGUAGCAGAAAGCUCCGAAUAGGGUGAUGAACGCAAUUUUGAUUUGAUCUUCUUCCUUGAGAGUUAUCUGGUGAUACCCCAAGUAGCAAUGGAGGAAGCAGAGUAGGGCACAUCCAGCUGUUGAGUUGAUGACUCGAUCAAUCCUAGGGAGCCCGAAAGGAUCCUUUGGACAAUGCUUGUUGAGGUCUGUGUAGUCGUCACACAUCCUCCACUCAUUAUUGUUCUUCUUUCGCAUCAAAACAGGAUUGGCAAGCCACUAUGGAUGAUAGACUUCUUUUAUGAGGUCUGCCGGAGUAGUUUGGCCAGCUCUUUUUUUAUCACUUGUCUUCUAUAUUGGGAGAAUCAUCGUAGUCGUUGUCUUUUUGGUAUAGCUUUUGGAUCCACGUUUAGUGAGUGCUCGAUCAGCUCCCUGAGCACGCCUGGCAUAUCCGCUGGCUUCCACGUGAAGAUGUCUCAGUCAGCUCAGAGGAAGAUGACGAGCGCGCUUUCCUAUUUAGGGUCUAGCCGUAAGCCAAUCAGGGCUGCCUUGGAAUCACUAGUCUCAAGGUCAAUGGCUUUUAUGUCUACUUCACUUGCCGGCUUGACCUUGGUUGCCCCUGACUUCUAUUUCUAGUAUCUCGAGUUCUGACGGGGACAGUUUCUUGAAUGCGGCGAAGACUUGCAUCAUCAAAUUUGGUACUUGCAUAGUUGUUGUUAGCUCUAUGACUUUCGUGCCGCAGUCAUAUGAUCUCUUCAAGUCUCCGCAUAGGGAGAGUACUCCCUUGGAUCCCGGCAUCUUGAGUAUUAGGUACACGUAGUGCAGGAUGGUCAUGAAUUUGGCCAAUGCUGGUCUUCAGAGGAUGGCAUGGUAUGAUGUUUUGAAGUCUGCCAACUUGAACCAGAUGUAAUCUGUCCGGUAGUGUUCUUUGAUCCCAAAGGUAACUGGCAAAACCACCUAUCCAAGGGGUAUAGCCACGUUGCCUGGGACAAUACCGUAGAAUGGAGAGUUCGUUGGGGGUAAGCAUGUCAGUGAUGUCGAGGCCCAUCUUCCUCAGUGUCUUGGCGAAGAGUACAUUGAGAUCGCUACGGCCGUCAAUGAGUACUUUGGUGAGUCUGGAGCCAGCGACUACUGGGUCCAGGAUGAGGGGAUAUCGUCCUGGGUCUGAGAAACUAGUGUAUUGGUCCUUCCUGGAGAAGGUAAUUGGUACCUUGGACCAUUUAAGAAAUGUUAGUGUUGCUGGUUCAAUGGACAUAAUCUCUCGAAGGGUGAGCUUCUAGGACCGCUUAGUAGCAGUACUGAAGCGUCCCCUCAUCAGUGGAGACUAAAUGUGAUGCAAAUAUCAGUCCCAGGAGGCUGAUAACACAUUUAUUCAACAGAUAGUUCAAAUACCGUACAACUCCCGAGGGAGUGGGCGUGAAAGCCACACCGCGAUAACAAGCAAAUAAAUAACAACAACGAGCAAGCGACUACCAAAAGACAGCACUCGGGACUACACGGCAGCAGAAGCAUCUUGUGAAGGCCAACACCACAGGCAGUGUUGGGUGCGGACACGACCUCCUACUCAAACUCCUCGGUGAUGAAGUCCGGGUCUUUCUUUGUAGCAACGAAGCAANNNNNNNNNNNNNNNNNNNNNNNNNNNNNNNNNNNNNNNNNNNNNNNNNNNNNNNNNNNNNNNNNNNNNNNNNNNNNNNNNNNNNNNNNNNNNNNNNNNNAAAGCUAGGUUUUCAACACAAUGCAGGGUUCGAUUUCAAAAGAGUUUUGCAAGCUUUCCUUUAGUACGAAAUAUAGUGGGUGAUCAUACACAAAGGAUCCAAAUUUUAUGCUAUCGGACUCCCCGUCCGCCAUAGCCCACGGCACAACUGCCGGACACUUCCAAAAUCCAACACAUGCCAUAAAAACCAUCCAUCUCCAAGUGCUAGUUAUGUGACCAAGCCAUAACUCGUCCAAUGCCGUGGACACAGCUACACAGAUAGGUUUUAACUCUGCAGAGGUUGUACACUUUUCCCACAAGUAGGGUACCGCAGCACGAUCACCUUAGUGCCGGUGCGGAUCCUAACAAAGCCAUUACCCACCUUAGCUAAGACUGACUAGUCCACAUGGAAGCGACCAAGGGGUUAACGACCUACCAACGAGGUCUUAACCGGGACCUAAGUCACAAAGAUCUUACUCCUUUUCCAUGGGCUCCCGUUGCUCACCAGCUCACCUGAAGACUAACAGUUUAGCUAGUGGGAUUUAUGCUAAGCCGUUGCCCACACAACGGUCGAGUGGUUGCACGAUGGUUGAGUUAGGUAAGAUGACACAUCAACUCAGUCCUUAACCAUGACAAGAUGGAUAUCUCCCAACAUUGCUCAACCACUAAGGUACGAGCCCAACUCAAUGGCAUUUCACCCGAGAAACACCCAUCCAUCUCAUCUAAGCAUUUCCUUUAUCUCCGAAAACCCAUUUUUCCCAAUUGAAAACACUCACACAUUUAUCCUUUAACAAAGCACAUUGUGGGAUGAGUAUUUUCAUGAAAUUUGGAUGUGGCUCGGUGGAAGUAUACUGGAGGAUGAUGUGGUCGAAUUUGGGAUUAAUUGGAGGAAGUUCAGCGCAUGAAAUGACAAGUUAAUCAUGUAUUAGGGGCUUAAAAGGAGGUUUAGGACUGAUAUGCGAUAAACCAGGGACCUUUUUAUAAAUAUUUUUGGGAGGUGGAGGAGCUGAUCUGCGAAAGGCGUAUGAGAGAUGAGGGAGGGUUAUUUCGCGAAUAGAGAAUAACAAGGGGUUAGAUCGAAAAGGUGGGGCUUCUUCUUUCUCUGUUCCUCACGGUACACACAGAGAGAGAGGGGGGGGGGGCGGCCGGCCUAGGGGCAGCGGCCUAGGCUCACCGGCGGCGAGGGGAGACGAUGGGGGAGACUAGAGGAGGCUGUAGGGGCUCCGUUUUACCCCUUACCUUGGGGAUUUGAUGAUAGGGGAGGGGGCGGCCGGUGGUGGCUUUUGGGCGGCGGCUUGGCACGGGAGGGAGCAAAGGGAGGGGUGGCGAGCGUGUGGGGGUCGCGAGGGAGGCCGGAGCGUGGGGGCUGGCGGUCCGGGCGGCGCGGUAGGGGCCGACGAUGUGGGCAGGGGAGGGGCGCCGGCGGUGGAGUGGGGCCGGAGGUGGAGGGCAGGCACAGGGGGGGCCCGGCACGGGCCGGCCGUCGGGGGGGCGCGUGGCCCGAGGGGCGCCAGCGCGGCCGACGGUCCCGCGAGGCGGGGCCUGGCGGUGCGGGCCCCGGGUGCGCGGGGGCUGGGGGUCAGGCGCCAUAGAGGAGCCGAGUGCUGGGGGGUCGGUGCGUAGGGGAGUGGCGGCAAGAGGAUGGCGCUAGGCGCCAGGAAGAAAGGAGGAGGAAGAAAGAAGAAGAAGGAAGAAGAAAGGAAGAAGGAUAAGGAGGAAAAAGAAAAGAGAAAAAGAAAUGGGAGGAAAAAGAGAAAAAGAAAGGGAGAGCCAGCGGCGAUUGCGGAAUGCGGUGGGAGCACGCGCGGCGGUCUGUCGACCGGCACGCGGUGAAAUUUACGGGAGAGGGUAAAUGAUGGUUGUUGGCUUUGGGUGUCGGGACGGCGAAAUCGCCGGGAAGAUUUUGGAUUUUCGAGAGCUCAACGGUAACAAGAUUUUGAAAACAAUUUUUAGCGGGUGAUUUAAGUUGGUGACUUUUGCGGAUGUUACAAGUACCCGGUGUGCCACUGAAGAUGAUGUUGAUGGUGUUGGAUGGGUUCUGGAAUUUGCCAUUGUCGCCAUCAUCUUCGUCUUCCUUAGCCUUGCCCUUGUCUUUAGUACCAGAUGGCUCCGGCAGGUCUUUCAUGACCCUGCGUAGACUAUAACAAUCUGUCAUAGAGUGUUUAUGGUAUGGUUAUCAUGGGCACUGCUUCUUCAGGAGCUCGCUGAAUGGCGUCCUGUCUUAAUUCCUACUGCCAUCUUUCUUGGAUGAUUGUGAUACUGCCACGACAGUAUUGUCUGGCUUUUGUUUGUGAUUCUAACAUCCCAAGUAGUUAUUUUGGUUGUUAUUGUUGGGGUGAUCGUUGCGGUUCUUGUCGUUGCGUUGGCCAUUAUUCUGAUUAUUGUUGUUCUGGCCUUUGUUGCGAUUAGACUCGAAGCUCUCGAUCUCCCUAUCUUCUUCAUCUGCCCACACCUGCACCAUGAUCUUAAGGGAUUUGACAUCACCAAGGCGUCUUCUCCCGAAGUCCUGGAACAUCCGACGGUCGUAGAGGCCAUCCUGGAAGCAAUCUAUGACAUCGCGCUCCAUGAUGUCCACAAUUGUGGCUUUCUUAUCGAAGAAGCAACGUAAGUAACUCCAAAAGGUCUCACCUUCUUGAUGUUUGACUUGAGACAAGUUGAUCCUGUUGCCAUUGCUAAGAUGCUACAUUGCCCCUACAUAGUUGUUAGUGAAUGCCACCUUGAGAUCCUUCCACGUGUUGAUGGAGUUCUUGUCUAAUGACUCGAGCCAUGUGAGUGGCGCCGCCUCCAUGCAGAUUGGAAAGUAGAUGACUUUGGUAUCAUCGUCCCCCCCACGCUGCCUGCACUGAUAGUGAGUAACACCACAGCCAUUGGACUGGGUCCUGCUUGCCAUGGUACUUGGUGAUACCUGGAGGUUUGAAUUUCUCAAGUAGAAUUGUCCUCCUCACGCGUCUUGAGAAGGCGGGGAACUUGUCAGAAUUUUCUCCUAAGUACUCAAAUUCUUACUCACGCUCACGACGGCGUUUGUCAAUAAUGGUAUGGGCGUCGCGACCUGCAUUGAUCUUGUGACGGAGAUCCUGUACUAGGCGUUCAGGCUCCGGGUUAGCCCCACGGUGGCCACGGCCUCCCAAGGGUCCGGCCCGACUACCCUCUACUCCAGUUUGGAUUGGUCUGGUGCCUCCAAUUUGACUUGGUCUAGAUAGAGUGCACCUAUGGCUACUACCGUGUUGACUACGCUGGGAUAGGGUGCGUUGAACUGAAUGUAUCGGGUUUUGCUGAUCGAGUUGUUUGUACGUGCGCUCUGUCAGUUCAGCCAAUUGUCUAGUGUACUUAUCCUGUGGCAUUGCGCGGGUAAUAAGAUCAAUGGCCGCGAUUGUGGCAAGGGGAGUACAAUAUUGACGCGAUUGAACUGCUUCAAACGCGUUAUCCAGAUUUAUGAUUGGCAGGUUUGCUGCAAGGUGCAGUGGCGCUCUGCUCUUGCGGUGUUUCUUGCUCGUUGUUGAGUUCUUCGAGCUUCAGUCUCUUCUUUAGAAACGUUGGCAGUGAGUUCAUCCUGUGAGACAUCAUCCGGGUGACGUUCAUGGCGUGGAUUUCUUUCUGAUUGCUCGUCUUCUUCGCCUUCUUGUCCAACAAUGAGAGUAAAGAGUUCUCAUUCUGUAGAGUAGCUUUCCGAGCUUGACAUAAUGACCUCCUUGGAGCCACCUUCUUCGUAGAUGGGCAACAGAGGAGUUUCCUCCUAGUAUGAGAGGGUGUCAAGGUAGGUGAUAAGACGUGAAUCGUCAUUCUUGGCCAGAGCAAGUGCCUUCAUGUUGGGCUAGUAGACGAAUCUACCUUGUGGAGUCGAUGUAAUCACCAGGCCCUGUUGCGGACCUGAUAAAAGGGUCUCCUCGUUUGGAUUCGAGUAGUAGUCGAGGUCCUCGAUCGUAUCCAUGUCGGAUUGUGAUCUGGACAGGGUAGCUUGGUAACUAGCAGCCACAUUUUGGAGUCUGAACGGAAAUUGAUUUGGGUUGUAGUCCGAUUCGGAUGAUGGCUUGAGCGCUGGCUUGUGAAAAUCAGUCCGACUAACGGGAGAAGUCGAGUUGUACUCGGACUCGUCCCCCUAUCCUCUAACUAAGUCAGAAAUUGAAAAUUCACUGAAAUUCUCGAUGAGAUCCUCCAGAGCUUGACGCUGGAGCUUCAUGGCUUGCUACUUCUUCUCCUGAACCGGAUCAAUAGGGCAAUGGGAAUUUCAAUGCCAUCUGUGAUGCAAACCUAGGAGCCGAAGGUGAAUGUCGCGCCCGGUUCGAACAUGACAAUUGGCUUGAUGAUGACUUGAGCUAUCGAGUUCGCCAAUGGAUUCUCAGCGAGAGCCCCCACCUGGCAUGCCAGCUAUCAGUGUUUUGACCUGGCAACCUACUGAGGGGGGUGCCCGAGGUAGUGUUUAGUUACUGGGGCCCACCUAGAUCAGGAACUCGAAGGUGAAUACAGACACACGAUUUCGACAGGUUCGGGCUGGUACAUUGUGUAAUACCCUACGUACUGUGUGUUAGUUGGAUUGAAUUGCUUUGGAGGGGGUCCCUGCCUCGCCUUAUAUCUCCGGGGGUAGGGUUACUGGUUGGUUGAUUUACAAGAAUACUAGUCGGAUUCGAUUAGGCGAGUCCUACUCUAAUUGCUAUGAGUAGUUUUCCUAAUCCUCGACUAGUUCCUGUCUUGCCACGUAGACUACGCCUUCCUACUCCGUAGCCUCCAUGUCAGAUGUGUCUCGGUGUCCAGGCCUGUAUCUAGGACUGUCCAAACCUUCUAGUGGGUCCAUAGAUGUAUGUAUGACACUUGCAAUAAGCAUGCCACAUUAAAUCAUCAACUGAAGGUAUAGUAUGAGAACACUUAAUCUUUCCAAGUUUCAUUAGUUCAUCAAAAAGUCUAUCACAUUUAGACACAUCAAAAGUGAAUUUCACCUCAUCUUGCCAAUUUUUGUGGACCAGCUUGAGAGAAACACAACGACUUAGUGUAUCUUUUGAUGACCAUACAAACUCAGCAACAUACACAUCUUUACUCUCAUCGUCGGAGGAUUCAUAAUUUAGCAUAUGCAUAUUAGAACGAUCAGAUUUGAUCCGAAUAUCUUUACUUCGAAUUUCUUGAGCCAAAGCUCUUUGCAAAACUUGGGUAAUAUUAGCAAAUUCAUGACCUUCCAAUCUUUCUCUAAUACGAGACCGCAAUCCACUAAAAUCUAAUUCAACAAGAUCCCUCUUAGAGAUAACAAGACUAUAACAACAGUUUUUUGUAUCUCUAAAUCUUAUAAUAUAAUUAACAAUAGAUUCAUCAUGCUUUUGCCUAACUGAUGUUAAAUAACUCAAUCUUAACUCAUUAUCUCCAUUAUAAAAGUGAUCAUGAAAUUUUUGCUCUAAUUACUCCCAAGUAUGAAUAGAAUUAACAGGUAAUGAAGCAAACCAUGAAAAAGUAGUUGCAGUUAAAGAUAAAGAGAA
Molecule: long non-coding RNA, 20923 nt
Filed under: Setaria italica (foxtail millet)
Lineage: Eukaryota; Viridiplantae; Streptophyta; Magnoliopsida; Poales; Poaceae
Description: long non-coding RNA (SITA_LNC002229)
Source: RNAcentral